Molecule: unclassified non-coding RNA, 222 nt
Filed under: Hevea brasiliensis (rubber tree)
Lineage: Eukaryota; Viridiplantae; Streptophyta; Magnoliopsida; Malpighiales; Euphorbiaceae
Source: RNAcentral
GGGACCCAAGCUUGUGCACAAAUCUAAUUACAAGGAACCACCUUCCAAUAGAAAGGCUAUAGAGAUUUUUAACACCUAUCUAAUAUAAGAAGUGGCAUCCAAUUCUACUUUAAAUCAUAGAUCGCCUUAUGAAAAAAUGAAUUCACUUAUUGAGGAUAUUAACUUAACCAUUUCACCACUAGAAAAAUAUUUUUAGCCACCAAAUUGCCAAUAUAUAAUAAC